RNAcentral lists this ribosomal RNA (219 nucleotides) under uncultured bacterium. Its description in RNAcentral is "partial 16S ribosomal RNA". It matches the Rfam family "Bacterial small subunit ribosomal RNA", at positions 1274 to 1500 of the family's 1533-position model. The record is from RNAcentral.
CUCGAAAGCCUGUCUCAGUUCGGAUUGGAGGUUGAAACCCGCCUCCAUGAAGUUGGAUUCGCUAGUAAUCGCGCAUCAGCCAUGGCGCGGUGAAUACGUUCCCGGGCCUUGUACACACCGCCCGUCAAGCCAUGGGAGCCGGGGGUGCCUGAAGUUCGUGACCGCAAGGAGCGACCUAGGGCAAAACUGGUGACUGGGGCUAAGUCGUAACAAGGUAUC